UACGUAGGGGGCAAGCGUUGUCCGGAAUUACUGGGCUUAAAGGGUGCGUAGGCUGCGCAGCAAGUUGGGUGUGAAAUCCCUCGGCUCAACCGAGGAACUGCGCCCAAUACUACUGUGCUCGAGGGAGACAGAGGUGAGCGGAACUUAGGGUGGAGCGGUGAAAUGCGUUGAUAUCCUAAGGAACACCCGUGGCGAAAGCGGCUCACUGGGUCUCUUCUGACGCUGAGGCACGAAAGCUAGGGUAGCGAACGGG
Molecule: ribosomal RNA, 253 nt
Filed under: uncultured bacterium
Lineage: Bacteria
Description: partial 16S ribosomal RNA
Rfam family: Bacterial small subunit ribosomal RNA
Source: RNAcentral